This 22-nucleotide microRNA is filed under the name Homo sapiens (human). Its description in RNAcentral is "Hsa-Mir-1278_5p* (star (passenger))". The record is from RNAcentral. Lineage: Eukaryota; Metazoa; Chordata; Mammalia; Primates; Hominidae.
AGAUGAUAUGCAUAGUACUCCC